GUCGAGCGGUAACAUUUCUAGCUUGCUAGAAGAUGACGAGCGGCGGACGGGUGAGUAAUGCUUGGGAAUAUGCCUUAUGGUGGGGGACAACAGUUGGAAACGACUGCUAAUACCGCAUAAUGUCUACGGACCAAAGGGGGGGAUCUUCGGACCUCUCGCCAUUUGAUUAGCCCAAGUGAGAUUAGCUAGUUGGUGAGGUAAUGGCUCACCAAGGCGACGAUCUCUAGCUGGUUUGAGAGGAUGAUCAGCCACACUGGGACUGAGACACGGCCCAGACUCCUACGGGAGGCAGCAGUGGGGAAUAUUGCACAAUGGGCGCAAGCCUGAUGCAGCCAUGCCGCGUGUGUGAAGAAGGCCUUCGGGUUGUAAAGCACUUUCAGUAAGGAGGAAAGGGAUGUAGUUAAUAACUGCAUUCUGUGACGUUACUUACAGAAGAAGCACCGGCUAACUUCGUGCCAGCAGCCGCGGUAAUACGAGGGGUGCAAGCGUUAAUCGGAAUUACUGGGCGUAAAGCGUUCGUAGGCGGUUGAUUAAGCAAGAUGUGGAAGCCCAGGGCUCAACCUUGGAACUGCAUUUUGAACUGGUCAACUAGAGUACUGUAGAGGGUGGUGGAAUUUCCAGUG
This 623-nucleotide ribosomal RNA is filed under the name uncultured bacterium. RNAcentral's name for it is "bacterial SSU rRNA". It matches the Rfam family "Bacterial small subunit ribosomal RNA", at positions 61 to 675 of the family's 1533-position model. The record is from RNAcentral.